RNAcentral lists this ribosomal RNA (347 nucleotides) under Mirimiri acrodonta (Fijian monkey-faced fruit bat). Its description in RNAcentral is "partial 12S ribosomal RNA". It matches the Rfam family "Bacterial small subunit ribosomal RNA", at positions 873 to 1382 of the family's 1533-position model. The record is from RNAcentral. Lineage: Eukaryota; Metazoa; Chordata; Mammalia; Chiroptera; Pteropodidae.
CAGAGUACUACUAGCAACAGCUUAAAACUCAAAGGACUUGGCCGUGCUUUAUAUCCCUCUAGAGGAGCCUGUUCUGUAAUCGAUAAACCCCGAUAAACCUCACCAACCCUUGCUAAUACAGCCUAUAUACCGCCAUCUUCAGCAAACCCUAAAAAGGAGACACAGUAAGCAAAACCAUUAAACAUAAAAACGUUAGGUCAAGGUGUAGCCCAUGAGUUGGAAAGAAAUGGGCUACAUUUUCUCACAUAGAACAUUUCACACGGAAAUUUUCGUGAAACCGAAAAUAGAAGGAGGAUUUAGUAGUAAAUUGAGAAUAGAGAGCUCAAUUGAAUUAGGCCAUGAAGCAC